GUUGCUAUGAAUGAGAUAUGUUUAUACUUGUGUGUAUUUAGCAAUUGUGUGUCCUUUCGUGACAUUUCCAUCCUAAAAAUUGAGGUAUUCAUAGAACAAAGGUAUUUAAAUAAAACUGGUUUUCAGAUGCUGCGCCAUUUUUUAUAUUACAAUUUAGUUCGGUUUAGUUUUAUUGUAAUAGCUAUACGUCAUUUCACUUUGCUUUAGAUGUCUUUAAUCAUGUUUAAUAGUUUUUUUGUUAAUUAAUUAGCUGUUACCGUCUGUAUUCUGGCAGGCACCGCCUUCAACAAAUGCUUAGUUCGUAUAUGACAGUGAGUUUAUUUAAGACAGAUGUUAUCGUUUUUAUUUUUUACUUUUUAGUCUUGUUAUAUUCUCUCUAAGCCUACCUAUACAGAUAAGUCACUUAGUUUUAAAGUCGCUUUUAAUUUUUAUGUGACAUCUAUCGCCAACUUUUCUUAAUUUUCCAGUGUAUUGUAUUUUAACCAAAGAUUCGUGGUAAAAAUUACACAUCCUAGCUCGUGAAAACAAGUAAACACUUUGAAUACUCUGGGUUACUGAAUUUAUAACAGCGUUAUUUCAAUAGAGAAUUUGGCUGGCAAUUAUCUAACACCCGCGAUCCUCUCAUCUAUUUAUAAGAUCCCGUGUCCGUGAGCGCACCACCACACACGGUCACCGCAGUCUGCGUGUACCCGGAGUACAAGUGAUGGUGAUGGUACUAGCGUCAGUGAAAUGUUAUAUAAUAAAUCGCGUGGUAUAUGGCGUGACUACCAUAGUUUUAUGUAAAUCAAUUGAUUUGCCAAAAUGUUGGAUAUUAUAAGUUAGAUGUUAUCAACACUUUAAAUUAAAAUUCAGUUCGGAUAUAAAUCUUGCCUAGCUCUCCAGGUAUUUUCAACAAAAUGCGGCCAAUGCUCUAGAGGGAGAUGAGGACGGUGUAAAGUGUAGUGUUGUGUUAAUUGAUUGUUGAAGUCCUAAACUACUCUCGACCUAAUUAGUGAGAGUCCUACAGAACUGCUGGCUGAGCUGAGAGCACUUCGCUCAGGCGCUCGCGGCGAUCACGAGCUAUGGAGAUAGCGGGACAAUACCUCCAGAAGUCCCUCAAGGGCACCGCGCCACCAGCUCCUCUGCCGCCCAGCACAUACACAUACCCGCCCAGCAGAGUGGCCGAGUGUUUCCCACGAGCACAGGGCGCCACCGCCGCUGAACCCUCCACAGAGACCCACAUCACCUGUGACAGUGACGUGACACAAACUUCAUAUAAAAUACACAACACGCUGUUAUAGUUACUGAAGUGAAGGGCAGCUACUGUAAUGAAGCCAGGAUUGCAUCGGUUAUAACUCACACUUCACAGGGUCAUACUUACAUAAUAUUUUAAUAUUAGCUGGUGUUAAGAAAACGUUUAAAGAGCAAUUUAGUUGAAAUAAUUUACUUUUAAAAAUAAAUUUAAUUAAAAACCUUUUGUAGAAAAUUUAAAUUAGAAAAUUAUCUCUCUGUAGGUACGUAUCAGUUUACGGUACUUUGUAUUAAAAGAAUUUAAAAGUGAAAGUUAA
This is a long non-coding RNA of Danaus plexippus (monarch butterfly), 1547 nucleotides long. RefSeq lists it as uncharacterized. The record is from RefSeq and is a predicted model, not a curated record. Lineage: Eukaryota; Metazoa; Arthropoda; Insecta; Lepidoptera; Nymphalidae. The transcript has 2 exons.